CAGGGAUUGCCCCAGUAACGGCGAGUGAAGCGGCAACAGCUCAAAUUUGAAAUCUGGCUCUCGGGCCCGAGUUGUAAUUUGUAGAGGAUGCUUUUGGUGAGGUGCCUUCCGAGUUGCCUGGAACGGGACGCCAUAGAGGGUGAGAGCCCCGUCUGGUUGGACACCGACCCUCUGUAAAGCUCCUUCGACGAGUCGAGUAGUUUGGGAAUGCUGCUCUAAAUGGGAGGUAUAUGUCUUCUAAAGCUAAAUACCGGCCAGAGACCGAUAGCGCACAAGUAGAGUGAUCGAAAGAUGAAAAGAACUUUGAAAAGAGAGUUAAAAAGUACGUGAAAUUGUUGAAAGGGAAGCGCUUGUGACCAGACUUGGGCUUGGUUGAUCAUCCGGGGUUCUCCCCGGUGCACUCUUCCGGCCCAGGCCAGCAUCAGUUCGCCCUGGGGGACAAAGGCUUCGGGAAUGUGGCUCUCUCCGGGGAGUGUUAUAGCCCGCUGCGUAAUACCCUGUGGCGGACUGAGGUUCGCGCAUUCGCAAGGAUGCUGGCGUAAUGGUCAUCAGUGACCCGUCUUGAAACACGGACCAAGGAGUCGUCUUCGUAUGCGAGUGUUCGGGUGUCAAACCCCUACGCGAAAUGAAAGUGAACGCAGGUGAGAGCUUCGGCGCAUCAUCGACCGAUCCUGAUGUUAUCGGAUGGAUUUGAGUAAGAGCAUACGGGGCCGGACCCGAAAGAAGGUGAACUAUGCCUGUGUAGGGUGAAGCCAGAGGAAACUCUGGUGGAGGCUCGCAGCGGUUCUGACGUGCAAAUCGAUCGUCAAACAUGGGCAUGGGGGCGAAAGACUAAUCG
This 838-nucleotide ribosomal RNA is filed under the name Fusarium stercicola. RNAcentral's name for it is "partial large subunit ribosomal RNA". It matches the Rfam family "Eukaryotic large subunit ribosomal RNA", at positions 69 to 937 of the family's 3401-position model. Lineage: Eukaryota; Fungi; Ascomycota; Sordariomycetes; Hypocreales; Nectriaceae. The record is from RNAcentral.